Molecule: long non-coding RNA, 3011 nt
Organism: Homo sapiens (human)
Lineage: Eukaryota; Metazoa; Chordata; Mammalia; Primates; Hominidae
Exons: 2
Source: RefSeq, a predicted model, not a curated record
GAGCCACCGCGCCCAGCCUAAAUUUUUAUUCUUAAGGGUGAUUCUCAACAAGCAGGCAUUGAAAAUCUGAAUGUCCAAAGUGUGCCAGAUGAAUGGGUUACUGAUGCCUUGCUGCAAUUUGUGUCACUUCUUAUCACUGCAAGGAACAUCAAAUUCUAUCAAAAUAUGGGAAAAAAUCAUUUUGGUGUUGCAUUUGCAUAUCCAAGGAUUGCAGGAUGGUUUGUAUAAUCAAAUUAUGUAGAGUUGUAAAAAGGGAGCAUCAUUUAAAUAGCUUACAAGAUUACUUUGAAGACGCACAUUAAAAUCUAAAGAACCCAUAGCCUCCAAGAUCUUUACAAAAAGUUAAAUGCUAAUUGAUUAUGACAGCUUUGUCUUUAUCACUGGCACCAUUCUCUAUUUCCACUCUGUCAAUAUCACAGCUCAAAUAUCACUCUGUCCUCUGUUCCUCUUCUAACCACAUUCAUUCCAUGCUGUAAUAACAGAUGGAAGUUUAUGCACGACUAGCUUUCCCCCCCCUCCCCAUUGUUGAUCAAAAGGAGCAGCCUGAAAAUAAGAAAAAAACAGAAUUUGCUGAAAUUCUGAUUUCUUUCAGCAGUUUUAUAGAUUUUAUAACUUAUCUUUUAUUGACUAUGCAAGGUCUCUGCUCCCCAGCAUCUGUUUGUUGCAUCUGGGGAGAAAGAUAAAUUCUCUUUUUUUAUGCCACUGAACCAAAUUUAAGAGACAGACAAACAAACAGGUCUCAGUAGAAGAGGACAGAAUCGCAUCCACAGCCCAGCUGUCCUCUUUCCCAGGCCCUGUGUGGGCAGGACAGGAGGAGGAGGAGGAAGAGGAGGAGGAGGAAGUGCCUUGUAGUCCAUUGAAUUUGCCAGCCCAUCAGGGAUGAGGGUGCCAGAGACUGGCUGAUCGGGCUUAGGGAGGUGCUCCCCCCAGAGUGGGGACCUGGGGGCUCGUGGCCAUGAGCACAAGCUUUGAAGAGGCUGCUUUGUAAACUUUGUAAAAAAUUCACAUCAUUUACAUUUCUCAGACUUAAAGAAUUGUGCCUGGUCACCCAGAGACAUGAUUAUACAUCACCAAACUUCAUUAUAAUAAUGGCCCUGGUACUCCAACUUCUUGAAAGCCUCAGCUGUUCGAUUCAGCCUCUUCAGCUCCAUAACUGUUUAUAAGAUUAAUAGACUCUGAUGCAUAAUUGACUCUCCCACCAGGAGGAAAAAAAAGAGAGACAGUCUAAUCGUAGCCCUGAAAAAAUAACAUUCCCAUAAAGAGAUGGUGUCUGUCCACAUUGACAGGGUCAGGGAUAGAGGAGUGUGGCUAGCACCACCAAGUCAGGAGAGAAGGGGAGACGGAUGAGGAGUCAGCCCCAGGGAAGGGAGUCUCAGAACGUCGAUGGGACAUGUCUCAUCAUUUAGAGGCUUCAGUGGACACCCUGAAAAAUUGGCUUUAUUGCAGAACUGGAUGGGAUUCAAUUCUACAGCAGGGAGCAAGGGAGCUAGGAAUAGGAAAGAAAGAGGAAAGGAAGGUCCCCGCCACACAGGAAGUGGAAGGAAGAGGAAAGAAAGAGGAUAGGAAGGUCCCCGCCACACAGGAAGUGGAAGGAAGAGGAAAGAAAAAGGACAGGAAGGUCCCCGCCAUACAGGAAGUGGAAGAGGAAAGAAAGAGGAUAGGAAGGUUCCCCACCACACAGCAAGUGGAAGGAAAUAGAAAGGGAAUCCACAGAGCAGCAGGAUGGGAAAAAGACCAGGCAUCUUGCAAUCUUCCUGGAAAACAAACAAACAAAGAAAACAGAAAAAGCAGAGCAAGAUGAGAGAAGAUUGACAUGGAGACAGGGUCUUAUUUUCUACUCUGUAUAGUGAGAGAUCCUCACCUAAAAGACCUCACCCUGUUGUUAGAGGGAAGAGAAAUGUGGGUUAAUCUUUCAUUGUCAUCAGAUUUGUGCUUCUUCCUCUUUACUUAAGUAACUGCUUUAGCUGGACCUCCGCAGCAUCUGCUGCUGCUUCUCCAGCUCCUGGAAAACCCCAAGGGGGUUGCAAAGAUAAGUCUUAACUCUGCCUCUGUUUUCCUUUCAGCUGACCACCAAAUGACCCCAGAGUGAAGAAGGCACAUCAGGCUCCUAUUAAUGUGGCCACAGAUUCACACAUUUGCUUGAUGAAAGCCUAGUGCAAAGGAAUAGAGUCUUAUUGUGGACUUGGAAACCUCCUAGUUAUUUAGAUGUGAACUCACGCUUUUGCUCAUCUCUGGGAAACACAGCACAUUUUUUUAAAGUACAUCUUGCAUCAUGGAUUGAAAGGCUAAGACCUUACCAUUAGAUCUAGCAUGAAGCCCUCACCCAUGCCGUGUAACUCUACAUUUACUCCUUCCUUCCAUCUUCAGGGGAAAAGAAGCAGGGGCUGAUAAAACAAGCAGAGAAGGCCCAGGGUCGGUUUAUUGACUUCUAAGGACUAUUGGUCUUUUGCAGUGAAGGAAAAAAAAAAAAUGCCUUAGGACCUGCUAGGUGCUAAUUUGACCUGGCAAUGAGGUAAAGUUAGGCUUUGGCUGUCUUCAACCUCCUAGGAUCGGAAUGCCAUCUACUUAGCAUAGGAGUCAGACAAUUCCCUGGCAAUAGAUCGCUUUCCACUUGUGCAGCUACUGAAUAAAUAGCAAAGUAAUUAACAGUGUGCUAUGGCUAGAUGUAUCAGGUGGAAUUUCAUUACAGCAGAAAGAACUGAGAGAAUGAAGGAGUCAUUUUGUGUCCACCGUCAGGUGAAUCGUUUGUGCUUUCUUUCACUAGGAUGGACAGGUUAUCUCUGCUUUUCUUCAAGAAGAGAAAUUUCUGAAUUCCCUAUCAUAUCUUCACUUUGAUCAAGGGGAAAGGAAGAAAAGAAAACUCUUAAGUGCCUAAAAUUGGUCCAAAAAUAAAGAAUUCUUCUCAUUUUUCCAUUUAAUGAUUUUGUUCCUGAAACCUAUGGGUGAUUCUCUUUUGUUGUAUUUUUUGUUUCUUUAUUUUUUCUCAACUAUUAAAUAUCUGAAUUUUGAAA